UACGGAGGGGGCAAGCGUUGUUCGGAGUCACUGGGCGUAAAGGGCGCGUAGGCGGUGCAUCAAGUCAGGCGUGAAAGCCCCGGGCUUAACCUGGGAAUUGCGCUUGAUACUGAUGCGCUCGAGAGCGGGAGAGGAUGGCGGAAUUCCCAGUGUAGAGGUGAAAUUCGUAGAUAUUCGCGAGAACACCAGUGGCGAAGGCGGCUUACUGGUCCGGUUCUGACGCUGAGGCGCGAAAGCGUGGGGAGCAAACAGG
Molecule: ribosomal RNA, 253 nt
Filed under: uncultured bacterium
Lineage: Bacteria
Description: partial 16S ribosomal RNA
Rfam family: Bacterial small subunit ribosomal RNA
Source: RNAcentral